This 253-nucleotide ribosomal RNA is filed under the name uncultured bacterium. RNAcentral describes it as "partial 16S ribosomal RNA". It matches the Rfam family "Bacterial small subunit ribosomal RNA", at positions 524 to 776 of the family's 1533-position model. The record is from RNAcentral.
UACGAAGGUGGCAAGCGUUGUUCGGAUUUACUGGGCGUAAAGGGAGCGUAGGUGGUGGGGUAAGCCCCGCGGGAAAGCUCCAGGCUUAACCUGGAAAGGUCGCGGGGGACUGCUCCGCUCGAGGACGGGAGAGGAGCGCGGAAUUCCCGGUGUAGCGGUGAAAUGCGUAGAGAUCGGGAGGAAGGCCGGUGGCGAAGGCGGCGAUCUGGGCAGACACUGACGCUGAGGUGCGAAAGCGUGGGGAGCAAACAGG